GACGAACGCUGGCGGCGUGCCUAACACAUGCAAGUCGAACGGAGAAAUUCAGCAAUGGAUUUCUUAGUGGCGAACGGGUGAGUAACGCGUAGACAACCUGCCUCCAAGAUGGGGACAACACCGCGAGAGUGGUGCUAAUACCGAAUGUUCUUUUUGUGGCGCAUGCCGGAAAAAGCAAAGGUGGCCUCUAUAUAAAAGCUACCGCUUGGAGAUGGAUCUGCGUCUGAUUAGCUAGUUGGUGAGGUAACGGCUCACCAAGGCGACGAUCAGUAGCCGGUCUGAGAGGAUGAACGGCCACACUGGGACUGAGACACGGCCCAGACUCCUACGGGAGGCAGCAGUGGGGAAUCUUCCGCAAUGGACGAAAGUCUGACGGAGCAACGCCGCGUGAGUGAAGAAGGUUUUCGGAUUGUAAAGCUCUGUCUUUUGGGACGAAUGUGCUCUUUGUAAAUAAUGAGGAGCAAUGACGGUACCGAAGGAGGAAGCCACGGCUAACUACGUGCCAGCAGCCGCCGUAA
This 518-nucleotide ribosomal RNA is filed under the name uncultured bacterium. RNAcentral describes it as "partial 16S ribosomal RNA". It matches the Rfam family "Bacterial small subunit ribosomal RNA", at positions 28 to 523 of the family's 1533-position model. The record is from RNAcentral.